UACGUAGGGUGCAAGCGUUAAUCGGAAUUACUGGGCGUAAAGCGUGCGCAGGCGGUUUUGUAAGUCUGUCGUGAAAUCCCCGGGCUCAACCUGGGAAUGGCGAUGGAGACUGCAAGGCUAGAAUCUGGCAGAGGGGGGUAGAAUUCCACGUGUAGCAGUGAAAUGCGUAGAUAUCUGGAGGAAUACCGGUGGCGAAGGCGGCAUCCUGGACCGGCAUUGACGCUGAUGAGCGAAAGCCAGGGGAGCAAACGGG
Molecule: ribosomal RNA, 253 nt
Filed under: uncultured bacterium
Lineage: Bacteria
Description: partial 16S ribosomal RNA
Rfam family: Bacterial small subunit ribosomal RNA
Source: RNAcentral